AUCAGAUUUUUGAACGCAACUGGCGCUAGCUGGAACUCCAGCUAGCAUGCUUGUUUCAGUGUCUUUUUCUUUCCUAACCGAAAUCAUAAUGCGAGAGAUACCCUUCUCUUGUUAAACAUGAAAGCACUCUGCGCUCUGCGAGCGACUUUGAUUCGUCUUAGGUCGCACUCAAUGCAGCAGUCACAUUGUUUACAGUGUGAACUCAUUGAGAGUAGAGGCAGCGCGGCCUUACAGCUGCAAGUGCUUAGACACUCAAACUUUUCUUGUAUCUGAAAUCAAGCAGGACCACCCGCUGAACUUAAGCAU
RNAcentral lists this ribosomal RNA (306 nucleotides) under uncultured soil eukaryote. RNAcentral describes it as "eukaryotic LSU rRNA". The stretch from base 1 to 64 matches the Rfam family "5.8S ribosomal RNA", at positions 91 to 154 of the family's 154-position model. The record is from RNAcentral.